Molecule: ribosomal RNA, 263 nt
Filed under: uncultured Synergistaceae bacterium
Lineage: Bacteria; Thermotogati; Synergistota; Synergistia; Synergistales; Synergistaceae
Description: partial 16S ribosomal RNA
Rfam family: Bacterial small subunit ribosomal RNA
Source: RNAcentral
UCGGGUGAAGCCGGGCGACUCUGGAAGGACUGCCAUCGACAAGAUGGAGGAAGUGGGGACGACGUCAAGUCAUCAUGGCCCUUAUGUCCAGGGCGACACACGUGCUACAAUGGCCGGCACAACGGGAAGCGAGUUCGCGAGGACGAGCGGAUCCCUUAAAGCCGGUCGCAGUUCGGAUUGAAGUCUGCAACUCGACUUCAUGAAGCUGGAAUCGCUAGUAAUCGCAGAUCAGCCAAGCUGCGGUGAAUACGUUCCCGGGCCUU